CGAAUAGGACUACGCGAUGCAUGUCGUGUGGUGGAAAGCUUUUGCGGUGUGGGAUGGGCCCGCGGCCUAUCAGCUUGUUGGUGAGGUUACGGCUCACCAAGGCGACGACGGGUAGCCGGCCUGAGAGGGUGACCGGCCACACUGGGACUGAGAUACGGCCCAGACUCCUACGGGAGGCAGCAGUGGGGAAUAUUGCACAAUGGGCGCAAGCCUGAUGCAGCGACGCCGCGUGAGGGAUGACGGCCUUCGGGUUGUAAACCUCUUUCGCCAGGGACGAAGCGCAAGUGACGGUACCUGGAGAAGAAGGACCGGCCAACUACGUGCCA
RNAcentral lists this ribosomal RNA (326 nucleotides) under Mycobacterium sp. Ri464. RNAcentral describes it as "bacterial SSU rRNA". It matches the Rfam family "Bacterial small subunit ribosomal RNA", at positions 170 to 510 of the family's 1533-position model. The record is from RNAcentral. Lineage: Bacteria; Bacillati; Actinomycetota; Actinomycetes; Mycobacteriales; Mycobacteriaceae.